This 448-nucleotide ribosomal RNA is filed under the name uncultured bacterium. Its description in RNAcentral is "bacterial SSU rRNA". It matches the Rfam family "Bacterial small subunit ribosomal RNA", at positions 330 to 793 of the family's 1533-position model. The record is from RNAcentral.
UCCAGACUCCUACGGGAGGCAGCAGUGGGGAAUAUUGCACAAUGGGGGAAACCCUGAUGCAGCAACGCCGCGUGAGUGAAGAAGUAUUUCGGUAUGUAAAGCUCUAUCAGCAGGGAAGAAGAUGACGGUACCUGACUAAGAAGCCCCGGCUAACUACGUGCCAGCAGCCGCGGUAAUACGUAGGGGGCAAGCGUUAUCCGGAUUUACUGGGUGUAAAGGGAGCGUAGACGGCAGGGCAAGUCUGGAGUGAAAUCCCGGGGCUUAACCCCGGAACUGCUUUGGAAACUGUGCGGCUGGAGUGCAGGAGGGGUAAGCGGAAUUCCUAGUGUAGCGGUGAAAUGCGUAGAUAUUAGGAGGAACACCGGUGGCGAAGGCGGCUUACUGGACUGUAGCUGACGUUGAGGCUCGAAAGCGUGGGGAGCAAACAGGAUUAGAUACCCCUGUAACG